This 216-nucleotide ribosomal RNA is filed under the name uncultured fungus. RNAcentral's name for it is "partial small subunit ribosomal RNA". The stretch from base 38 to 216 matches the Rfam family "Eukaryotic small subunit ribosomal RNA", at positions 684 to 864 of the family's 1831-position model. Lineage: Eukaryota; Fungi. The record is from RNAcentral.
GGAUUAGUACGCUGGUCGUGCCUUCGGUACGUACUGGUGUUACUGAUUCCUACCUUCUGACGAACCGUCAUGUCAUUAAUUUGAUGUGGCGGGGAAUCAGGACUGUUACUUUGAAAAAAUUAGAGUGCUUAAAGCAGGCUCGCGCUUGAAUACAUUAGCAUGGAAUAACGAAAUAGGACGAUCGAACCUAUUUUGUUGGUUUCUAGGAUCGACGUA